ACAAAGCUCUGUAUUAAAAGAAAAACAUACCUGAACACCUAAAUUUAUUUUAUUUAUAUAUAUAUAUAUAUAAAUAAAAUAAAUUUAGGUGUUCAGGUAUGUUUUUCUUUUAAUACAGAGCUUUGU
Molecule: microRNA precursor, 126 nt
Filed under: Marmota monax (woodchuck)
Lineage: Eukaryota; Metazoa; Chordata; Mammalia; Rodentia; Sciuridae
Source: RNAcentral